This 378-nucleotide unclassified non-coding RNA is filed under the name uncultured Gammaproteobacteria bacterium. RNAcentral describes it as "contains 16S-23S intergenic spacer region". The record is from RNAcentral. Lineage: Bacteria; Pseudomonadati; Pseudomonadota; Gammaproteobacteria.
UCGCGGCUUAUCACCGGCAGUCCCCUUAGAGUGCCCAACUGAAUGAUGGCAACUAAUGACAAGGGUUGCGCUCGUUGCGGGACUUAACCCAACAUCUCACGACACGAGCUGACGACAGCCAUGCAGCACCUGUGUAAAGGUUCUCUUUCGAGCACCCCCGAAUCUCUCCAGGGUUCCUUCCAUGUCAAGGGUAGGUAAGGUUUUUCGCGUUGCAUCGAAUUAAUCCACAUCAUCCACCGCUUGUGCGGGUCCCCGUCAAUUCCUUUGAGUUUUAAUCUUGCGACCGUACUCCCCAGGCGGUCUACUUCACGCGUUAGCUGCGUUACCAAGUUAAUUAAAACCCGACAACUAGUAGACAUCGUUUAGGGCGUGGACUAC